RNAcentral lists this unclassified non-coding RNA (379 nucleotides) under uncultured Alphaproteobacteria bacterium. RNAcentral's name for it is "contains 16S-23S intergenic spacer region". Lineage: Bacteria; Pseudomonadati; Pseudomonadota; Alphaproteobacteria. The record is from RNAcentral.
UCCGGCUUAACGCCGGCAGUCUCCCUAGAGUGCCCAACUGAAUGGUGGCAACUAAGGACGAGGGUUACGCUCGUUGCGGGACUUAACCCAACAUCUCACGACACGAGCUGACGACAGCCAUGCAGCACCUGUGUGGGAGCCAGCCGAACUGAAGGACACCGUCUCCGGUGCCCAAACUCCCCAUGUCAAGGGCUGGUAAGGUUCUUCGCGUUGCAUCGAAUUAAACCACAUGCUCCACCGCUUGUGCGGGCCCCCGUCAAUUCCUUUGAGUUUUGACCUUGCGGCCGUACUCCCCAGGCGGUCGGCUUAAUGCGUUAGCGCCGACACCGAACAGCUUGCUGCCCAGCGUCUAGCCGACAUCGUUUACAGCGUGGACUAC